Molecule: long non-coding RNA, 324 nt
Filed under: Linum usitatissimum (flax)
Lineage: Eukaryota; Viridiplantae; Streptophyta; Magnoliopsida; Malpighiales; Linaceae
Description: long non-coding RNA (LUSI_LNC001095)
Source: RNAcentral
CCGCCGCAGCAACGGCUGGCACGGCGGCGGCUGAAUUCGACUUCCCAUUCUCGGCGGAGGAGUUUUCAAUCUCGCGGAUCUGCCCGACAUCCUUGUUGGAAACCUCUCUCGUGGUUUUCCGCUUCCGGCAGAGGCAGAAGAAGAUCAGUAACAGCAAUAAGAAUCCGAUUACGCACCCGAUGAUGAUUCCGGCGAGUGCGCCGCCGGAUAGUUUUUUUCUUCCGCCGCCGGUGGCGGCGUCUGUGCCGUCACAGCUGACCAGUGGCUUCCCGCAGAGCUGGGAGUUAUCCAAGAAAGCGGCGGCGGGCUUUGUGGCGAGAGCGG